AACCACAACCAUAUCACCCUGCAGCCCAUGACUGGUUACUCACUGAAGCUAAUCAGAGCUGAGCCUGGUCAUUACCUGGAUUAGAGACCACAUGGGGAAACUAGGUUGCUGUUGGAA
Molecule: ribosomal RNA, 117 nt
Filed under: Danio rerio (zebrafish)
Lineage: Eukaryota; Metazoa; Chordata; Actinopteri; Cypriniformes; Danionidae
Source: RNAcentral